RNAcentral lists this ribosomal RNA (2912 nucleotides) under Clostridium perfringens. RNAcentral describes it as "bacterial LSU rRNA". It matches the Rfam family "Bacterial large subunit ribosomal RNA". The record is from RNAcentral. Lineage: Bacteria; Bacillati; Bacillota; Clostridia; Eubacteriales; Clostridiaceae.
AUAUAGGUCAAGCUACAAAGGGCGCAUGGUGAAUGCCUUGGCAUCAGGAGCCGAUGAAGGACGUGAUAAGCUGCGAUAAGCUUCGGGUAGGCGCACAUAGCCUGAGAUCCGAAGAUCUCCGAAUGAGGAAACUCACAUGGGAAACCCCAUGUAUCAUUAAGUGAAUACAUAGCUUAAUGAAGGUAACCCAGGGAACUGAAACAUCUAAGUACCUGGAGGAAGAGAAAGAAAAAUCGAUUUUCUUAGUAGCGGCGAGCGAAAGGGAAAGAGCCCAAACCGGAAACUUGUUUCCGGGGUUGUGGACAUAGCAUAAAAGUGGAGGCUAUUGUAACUGAAGAGAACUGGAAAGUUCCACCGUAGAAGGUAAUAGUCCUGUAAGUGAAACGAGAAGACCACGAGUUAUGAUCCAGAGUACCACGAGACACGUGAAACCUUGUGGGAAGCAGGGAGGACCACCUCCCAAGGCUAAAUACUACCUGAUGACCGAUAGUGAAGCAGUACCGUGAGGGAAAGGUGAAAAGAACCCCGGGAGGGGAGUGAAAUAGAACCUGAAACCGUGUGCCUACAACCGCUCAGAGCCCCUUAUGAGGGUGAUGAGGUGCUUUUUGUAGAACGAGCCAACGAGUUACGGUAUGUAGCAAGGUUAAGUACUUAAGGUACGGAGCCGAAGGGAAACCGAGUCUGAAUAGGGCGACUAGUUGCAUGCCGUAGACCCGAAACCGGGUGACCUAUCCAUGGCCAGGUUGAAGCGAGGGUAAAACCUCGUGGAGGACCGAACCACGUUGCUGUUGAAAAAGCAUGGGAUGAGCUGUGGAUAGCGGAGAAAUUCCAAUCGAACCCGGAGAUAGCUGGUUCUCUCCGAAAUAGCUUUAGGGCUAGCGUCGAGUAUGAGUAGUGGAGGUAGAGCACUGAAUGGGCUAGGGGGCAUAGCGCUUACCGAACCUUAUCAAACUCCGAAUGCCACAUACUUUGAGCUCGGCAGUCAGACUACGAAUGAUAAGAUCCGUGGUCAAAAGGGAAACAGCCCAGAUCGUCAGCUAAGGUCCCAAAGUGUAAGUUAAGUGGGAAAGGAUGUGAGAUUUCUAAGACAACUAGGAUGUUGGCUUAGAAGCAGCCAUUCAUUAAAAGAGUGCGUAAUAGCUCACUAGUCGAGAGAUCUUGCGCCGAAAAUGUAACGGGGCUAAACUUACCACCGAAGCUACGGGCUUGAACUUAGUUCAAGCGGUAGGAGAGCGUCGUAACCGGGCUGAAGUCGUACCGUAAGGAGCGGUGGACUGGUUACGAGUGAGAAUGUUGGCAUCAGUAGCGAGAUGUGGGUGAGAAUCCCACAGGCCGAAAACCUAAGGUUUCCUCAGGAAGGUUCGUCCGCUGAGGGUUAGUCGGGACCUAAGCCGAGGCCGAAAGGCGUAGGUGAUGGACAACUGGUUGAUAUUCCAGUACCACUACCAUCGUUAUUAUCGAUGGCGUGACGCAGGAGGAUAGUGUGUGCUAGCUAUUGGAUGCUAGUCUAAGCGUUUAGGCAGUGAGAGUAGGCAAAUCCGCUCUCAUAAUGCUGAGGCGUGAUGGGGAAGGUUCCACGGAACCGAAGUACAUGAUUCCACGCUGCCAAGAAAAGCGUCUAGAGAGAGAAGUAGUGCCCGUACCGCAAACCGACACAGGUAGGUGAGGAGAGAAUCCUAAGGCCGGCGGAAGAAUUACAGUUAAGGAACUCGGCAAAUUGACCCCGUAAGUUCGCGAGAAGGGGUGCCUACGAGAGUAGGCCGCAGAGAAUAGGCCCAAGCAACUGUUUAGCAAAAACACAGGUCUCUGCUAAAGCGUAAGCUGAUGUAUAGGGGCUGACGCCUGCCCGGUGCUGGAAGGUUAAGGGGAACACUUAGCGCAAGCGAAGGUGUGAACUUAAGCCCCAGUAAACGGCGGCCGUAACUAUAACGGUCCUAAGGUAGCGAAAUUCCUUGUCAGGUAAGUUCUGACCCGCACGAAUGGCGUAAUGACUUGGGCACUGUCUCAACUGUAAAUCCGGCGAAGUUGUAGUGCGAGUGAAGAUGCUCGCUACCCGCGAUUGGACGGAAAGACCCCGUAGAGCUUUACUGUAGCUUAGCAUUGAGUUUUGGUAUUGUCUGUACAGGAUAGGUGGGAGACUAGGAAACCAGGGCGUCAGCCUUGGUGGAGUCAACCUUGGGAUACCACCCUGACAGUACUGAAAUUCUAACUGGCGGCCAUGAAUCUGGUCACAGGACAUUGUUAGGUGGGCAGUUUGACUGGGGCGGUCGCCUCCUAAAAAGUAACGGAGGCGCCCAAAGGUUCCCUCAGAACGGUCGGAAAUCGUUCGAAGAGUGCAAAGGCAGAAGGGAGCCUGACUGCGACACCCACAAGUGGAGCAGGGACGAAAGUCGGGCUUAGUGAUCCGGUGGUACCUCGUGGGAGGGCCAUCGCUCAACGGAUAAAAGCUACCUCGGGGAUAACAGGCUGAUCUCCCCCAAGAGUCCACAUCGACGGGGAGGUUUGGCACCUCGAUGUCGGCUCGUCGCAUCCUGGGGCUGAAGUAGGUCCCAAGGGUUGGGCUGUUCGCCCAUUAAAGCGGCACGCGAGCUGGGUUCAGAACGUCGUGAGACAGUUCGGUCCCUAUCCGUCGCGGGCGUAGGAAAUUUGAGAGGAGCUGUCCUUAGUACGAGAGGACCGGGAUGGACUGACCUCUGGUGUACCAGUUGUUCCGCCAGGAGCACAGCUGGGUAGCUAAGUCGGGAAUGGAUAAACGCUGAAAGCAUCUAAGCGUGAAGCCAACCUCAAGAUGAGAUUUCCCAUAGCAUAAGCUAGUAAGAUCCCUUGAAGAACACAAGGUUGAUAGGUCGGGGGUGUAAGCAUGGUAACAUGUUCAGCUGACCGAUACUAAUAGAUCGAGGGCUUGACCAAAU